GACGUAGGGCGCGAGCGUUGUCCGGAAUUAUUGGGCGUAAAGGGCUCGUAGGCGGUUUGUCGCGUCGGGAGUGAAAACACCGGGCUUAACUCGGUGCUUGCUUUCGAUACGGGCAGACUGGAGGUAUGCAGGGGAGAACGGAAUUCCUGGUGUAGCGGUGAAAUGCGCAGAUAUCAGGAGGAACACCGGUGGCGAAGGCGGUUCUCUGGGCAUUACCUGACGCUGAGGAGCGAAAGUGUGGGGAGCGAACAGG
This 253-nucleotide ribosomal RNA is filed under the name uncultured bacterium. Its description in RNAcentral is "partial 16S ribosomal RNA". It matches the Rfam family "Bacterial small subunit ribosomal RNA", at positions 524 to 776 of the family's 1533-position model. The record is from RNAcentral.